Molecule: non-coding RNA, 31 nt
Filed under: Mus musculus (house mouse)
Lineage: Eukaryota; Metazoa; Chordata; Mammalia; Rodentia; Muridae
Source: RNAcentral
UCCUAGCAAAUAGGAUGGUGUUCUUGAUGGU